ACUCUGGAAGCCUCGCAGCUCUCCCUCUCCCUCCCUUCUCUUCCUUUCCCCCUUCCCCCUUACCUCCCUCCAUGAGCGAGCUCUGUGCAAAUUAAUCAGCAGACAUCCAAGGCUCCAGCUGGGAUGAAGUGGGCUGGACUCAUUAGUCCAGAAUGAUAUUAAUAUCAAAAAAAUGUUGAGACAAAUGCAAUGAUUCCGGGCAGGCACCUACAUCGGCCUGACUCUGAAGCUAGUGUGGGCCCAGGAACCGUGGCCAGUUGCCGCUGAGUGUUCCUGUUGCAUCAGCAGCGAGGCUAAUUAGCUCCACGGCUCCUGAAUGAUAAUGGCUGCAUUCUCAGAGGUGUCUGCCUGCCAGGAGCCCCACAGGCGUGCAAACAUGCACGUGGACAGCCGUACUGGUCCCAUUUUGGAGUUGAGGAAACCGAAGCUGAGCGUCUGCCCUCCCCGGCCCUGGAUGGGACUCAGCGAUACUGCCCAUCACCGUGCAGCAGCUUAGGGAAUCAGAUGGACAUUCCUAAUAUGGAGCCCAAAUCUGGCUGCUGUGAAUUCCAUGAAGAGGCCUGCUCGGCAUCUCCUCUUCUGGGUCCUGCACGUGCUGACCUCUCGGGUCUCUGGGUAAAGAAGACCUGAUGCUCUAGAGGAACGUGUAUGGGCUUUGGGCCAGAAGAGUUCUGCAGCGUAGUCUCUGCUGCUAGGACUCAGGGAAUGACUUAGGGCUGGUCUUUGUGAUGCAGCAGCAGGAAGAUUAUUAGGGAAUGCUCUGCAGAUCGAUGUCUUUGGAAGGGAGAGGACAGACACGGGACUGGGCCAGAGGGGAUGCCCACCUAUGACGCUGUCUCGAUGGAAGCUCAGCUGUUCCUGCAGGGAGUUCUGAGGACAGGAUGGCACUUCAGGGAGUCCUGAGUUGUGGUGAAAGGGUUGGGCCUUGGUGCCUGCGUGUUGGUCUAUCAUGGCAUGUAGGUCUCCCGGAUCGGGGAAUGAAGUGGGAGGGGCUGACAACCACUUGCCAAUGGCUGCCCAGCAGCCAGGGCAGUAAGUCCUCUAUUGGUUCAGGGAGACCUGGGCAGUGCCUGACAGAGCCUUCUUCUGAGAGAUGCCCCUCUCCAGGGAAUUGGAAGGGAGAGGCCAGUGGGUGAACGAUUGAUCCCUCGCUGAGCCUGUGGUCUCAGGGCUGCAAGGACGCUCCUCUGCAGCCCUCUUCACCAACCCCCCUUCUCAGGUUUCAUCUCUACGGGGAUGGAGACUCUGGUCACCACGUCCUUUUCAGGCCAGGGUGGCUGCACUGGUCAGUCUACUGUCCACAUGGUCACAGAAGCACCAAGAGGCGCCAAGGGCACCACCAAGGUGUCAGCGCGUUCUUCCUUGUCCCCAGGGGUGACCUCUUUCUGAUGUCCAGGGACAGUUGCUCUGUCCAGAAUGGUGACUGUUCUUGCUUGCCGGUCCCCUGACACAGGAGCCUGAAGUGCCAAGGGGCAACUGUAAUUUAUAGUUUAAGGGAUUCUUGCUGUGUUCACUGGCAGGAGUGUUCUUUCUUUGGAGACAAGGGUGUCUAAACCCACAGAGCCUGGAGCUGAGGGAUGGAGACCACAGAAUCCCUAG
This is a long non-coding RNA of Bos taurus (domestic cattle), 1599 nucleotides long. NCBI's taxonomy places the organism in Eukaryota, Metazoa, Chordata, Mammalia, Artiodactyla, Bovidae. The record is from Ensembl.